This 497-nucleotide ribosomal RNA is filed under the name uncultured bacterium. RNAcentral describes it as "partial 16S ribosomal RNA". It matches the Rfam family "Bacterial small subunit ribosomal RNA", at positions 28 to 507 of the family's 1533-position model. The record is from RNAcentral.
GAUGAACGCUGGCGGCGUGCCUAAUACAUGCAAGUCGAGCGAACAGAUGAGGAGCUUGCUCCUCUGACGUUAGCGGCGGACGGGUGAGUAACACGUGGAUAACCUACCUAUAAGACUGGGAUAACUUCGGGAAACCGGAGCUAAUACCGGAUAAUAUAUUGAACCGCAUGGUUCAAUAGUGAAAGACGGUUUUGCUGUCACUUAUAGAUGGAUCCGCGCCGCAUUAGCUAGUUGGUAAGGUAACGGCUUACCAAGGCAACGAUGCGUAGCCGACCUGAGAGGGUGAUCGGCCACACUGGAACUGAGACACGGCCCAGACUCCUACGGGAGGCAGCAGUAGGGAAUCUUCCGCAAUGGGCGAAAGCCUGACGGAGCAACGCCGCGUGAGUGAUGAAGGUCUUCGGAUCGUAAAACUCUGUUAUUAGGGAAGAACAAAUGUGUAAGUAACUAUGCACGUCUUGACGGUACCUAAUCAGAAAGCCACGGCUAACUACGUG